CGGUGGUGUCGAAAAUGGUUUUCGAAUGAGAUGAUUCUGAGAUUGGAAGAAUGGUUCGAAGAUUUUCAAGUUUUUUCCUGAACACUGUAAUUUGAUUGAUGAUGUUGGAAAGAUACAUGUAGCAAUGUCAUUUGAUAAAGAUAUAGCAUAAAGAUACCUGGGCUUUACAGGAGACACACUUCCAUCCACAGGAUAGACAUGUUAAUACACCUGUACCCAAUGCCAGCCAGUUUAAACAAAUUUUCAGAAUUUUCUGAGGUCCUUCGGCAGAUUUCUGGAAGUUUAAUUUGUUUUAUCAAGAGUAAGAUAUGCACAG
Long non-coding RNA from Mytilus trossulus (common blue mussel), 316 nucleotides. RefSeq lists it as uncharacterized. Lineage: Eukaryota; Metazoa; Mollusca; Bivalvia; Mytilida; Mytilidae. The record is from RefSeq and is a predicted model, not a curated record. The transcript is spliced from 3 exons.